AUGGAAAUAUGGAGUGAAUUGUCUACAAUGAAUCUUAACAACUCACAAAAUGAUGCCAUCCUGAACUGCAUUUCAGCAAUGCUCUCCAACAGCAGCAGCAGUUUAAGCCUUAUCUGGGGACCUCCUGGCACAGGAAAGACUAAAACAAUCACUGUACUCUUGUGGUUAAUGAGGAAACUGAAACAUGGUACACUUACAUGUGCACCGACAAACCUUGCUGUUAAACAAGUUGCUUCAUGUUUCUUAAGGUUGAGCAAAGAGAACCCUCUGGAUACAAGUUGCUUAGGAGAUGUUCUGUUGUUUGGCAAUAAACAUCGCAUGUGUGUUGAAGAUGAUCUGAAAGAGAUUUACUUACAUGAUCGUGUAAGGAAGCUUCUUGUUUGCUUUGCACCAUUGACUGGAUGGAGACAUUGUCUGUCUUCCAUGUACGAUUUUCUUGAGAAUGGUUACUCCCAGUACCUUCGAUAUUCUGAAGAACAAAAGGAGGAGAAUAAACCUUCCUUUUUGCAUUACACCAGGAAAAAACUUGAUGUUAUUUAUCCUGAGCUCCAAAGAUGUUUCAAACAGCUACUAUUUCAUGUCCCCAAAUCUUGUAUUUUGGAGGUGAAUUACAAUAACAUCAUUUCACUUCUCGAACUGCUUGAAGAUUUCAAUACACUCCAGAGGAAAACUACCAGGGUUGAGAUAAAGGAAGUUUUCUUGUAUAAAGAUGUUCCAAGGAAAUCCAGCAUGGGCAUUCUUCCCAAGACAGUGAUAACCAUCGGCAAAACCAGAAUUAAAUGCCUUGAGCUGCUAAAGAUGCUAUUAAGUUGCUUGAAACUUCCUAUAACAUCCUCCAAACGCACCAUCCGAGAAUUCUGUAUGGAAAGUGCCAGCAUAAUUUUCUGCACUGUUUCUAGCUCUUCCAAAGUAACAAGCAAUAAAAAACUAGAGUUGCUUGUUGUCGAUGAGGCUGCUCAGUUGAAAGAAUGUGAAACAUUGAUCCCUUUGCGUUUGCCUGCAUUGAAGCAUGCUAUCCUCAUUGGUGAUGAGUGUCAACUACCAGCAACAGUUGUUAGUAAGGUUUGCAAGGAUGCAUUAUUUGGGAGAAGUCUCUUUGCGAGGUUGAGUUCACUGGGACAUGAAAAGUAUCUGCUUAACAUGCAAUACAGAAUGCAUCCAUCCAUUAGCAUUUUUCCAAACAGCAGCUUCUAUGGCGGGCAACUCUUGGAUGCUCCUAGUGUCAUGCAAAAAGAACACCAAAAGAAGUAUCUUCCAGGUUCUAUGUUUGGUACUUACUCUUUCUUCAAUAUUGAAGAUAGUUGGGAGGAUGUCGACGAACUUGGUCAUAGCAGGAAGAACGUGGUUGAAGUUACCAUUAUCCAGGAAAUCUUGCAAAAUCUCCGAAGAGCUUGUUCUAAGACUAUGAAGAAGGUCACAGUUGCUGUCAUAUGCCCAUACUCUGCUCAAGUUCUAGCAAUUCAAGAAAAACUGAGGAAAAUAAAGUUUGGCCCCUUGUCAGUAAAAAUUAGUUCUGUUGAUGGCUUCCAAGGUGGCGAGGAAGACAUAAUCAUUUUAUCAACUGUCAGGUCCAACUCUGAUGGGGUGGUAGGGUUUGUUUCAGAUCGACAACGUACAAACGUAGCUUUGACAAGAGCAAGACAUUGCCUUUGGAUUUUGGGAAAUACCGCAACCCUAUCCAGGAGUGGUUCUAUCUGGGCAGAUCUAGUGCACAAUGCCAAGGAACGGCAGUGUUUCUUCAAUGCAAAAAGUGAUGGGGCUAUUUCUCGUGUGAUUGCUAAGCAUGAGAGUGAGCUCAGUUCAGUUAAAGACAAAAGUGUUACACCUUUACAAGUUAAAAAUAACACUGUUCGGGUUCAGGCACCAUCUCGAACUCGUAAGGGGCAGAAACGUCAACGACACCCUUCUUAUGUGGUCCAUCUCAUGCUGGGAGUCGUCAACGAGGCGGUGUUGCCUCCAGUCCCGAUCCACAUCGCCGAAAGGAUAAAGGGAUCGUUGAAGAUCUCAUUGCUUCCUUCAGCAGUCUUAGACUCCGUUGAAGUACUACUGGCGGCGUGA
Molecule: ribosomal RNA, 2058 nt
Filed under: Triticum aestivum (bread wheat)
Lineage: Eukaryota; Viridiplantae; Streptophyta; Magnoliopsida; Poales; Poaceae
Description: partial small subunit ribosomal RNA
Source: RNAcentral